Molecule: non-coding RNA, 694 nt
Organism: Labrus bergylta (ballan wrasse)
Lineage: Eukaryota; Metazoa; Chordata; Actinopteri; Labriformes; Labridae
Source: RefSeq, a predicted model, not a curated record
CUUUCAAUCUUUCUUUUUUCCUGGACUUGUAGUUCCCAUCACAUUGGAAGCUGCCAAGGUUCCCAUAGUGAUAAGGUCCACAUCUUGUUCCUGUGCUGCAGGGAGAGCCCUUUGGAACCACUUGGUGGGGCUUCUUUAUCUAAGUGCCCGUUUCAGCACCUCGAACUACAAGAUUGUGCCAUUACAUGUGUCUUGCACUGACAGACUGCAGACCUGGCACAGGCCUCGGACCCAGGGCCCCUUCCUGACCCGGGUGUGAUGUCUGUUGGAGAGAAAUUGAAAGACAUUCAGCCACAGCUGGGGAUCUGUAAGAUUCUUCAUGGACUUGAGGAACUCACCAUGGUGGAGUCCAAAUUUGGUCUUGUGCCCUUUGGAUCAGUUCUAUCAUACCAGUGCCCCCUAGAGAGCGUGCCCUGGUGGGGAAAGUGGACGCGGGGAAGAUCAAGCACAAGUGGGAGAACCUCAAACAAAAAUACAAGGGUGGUCCCAGUGGUCAUCACCCUGGUCAUGGAAGGCCCCCUCCUCCACCUCUGGCUCCACCAAAUCCCCAUUGUUGAUGGAGAGGUUGUGGAGGAAGACACAGGUCGACACCACUGCAGGAACAAAGGGCCUUGAGGAAGAUGCUGCGCCACCGCGUCUUCAUCAUGCCAAUCGCCCUUUCCACCACACACCGUGCUUUGGCAUGAUGCCGGUU